AUGUGGCAUUUUCUUAUGUUGGAUGAGUCAACAAGCACAGGCCAUCAUUCGCAAAAAAAGAAAAGAAGCACAGGCCACACCAGCAGCCGACGUGCCAUAUAUGCCGCCCCUUGCCCCUUCCGCGCCUUAAGCCUAUUAAUAGGAGGAUUCCGUGCUUGUCUCUCACAGUUUUGCAGAUUUCAGCAGACGGCCAUAGCUUUGACCAUCCCCUUCUUCCUUCAACAUUUGACGGCCGGCAAACUCUUGUCCUCAGUGCAGCGAAGGCAGACGGCCAUGGACGGCGACAGCCCGGUGAUGACGGACAGCGAGCGGAGGGCGUACCGGUACGUGCAGGCGCCCAAGGUGCAUGGCCUGGGCGGCAUGAAGAACUCAUGGUCCAACGACUCUCUCUUCAGCCUCAGCUACGCCGGCGCGGGGGGCAGGGCCGUCGUCCACUCGUGCGUCUGCGCGCCAACCACGCACCCGGGCUCCUUCCGCUGCAAGCACCACCGCCAGAGCGCCGCCCACCUCGGCGCCGCCGGUCACGCGCAAGCGCAGCCCACGUCUGAGGCCGACGCCGACUCUAAGCGCAACGAGGUCCACGGAGAAAUGUCGACCGCGGAUGACGAGAAGGCGUCGUGA
This 621-nucleotide ribosomal RNA is filed under the name Triticum aestivum (bread wheat). RNAcentral describes it as "partial small subunit ribosomal RNA". Lineage: Eukaryota; Viridiplantae; Streptophyta; Magnoliopsida; Poales; Poaceae. The record is from RNAcentral.